This 550-nucleotide ribosomal RNA is filed under the name Streptococcus mitis. RNAcentral's name for it is "bacterial SSU rRNA". It matches the Rfam family "Bacterial small subunit ribosomal RNA", at positions 943 to 1488 of the family's 1533-position model. Lineage: Bacteria; Bacillati; Bacillota; Bacilli; Lactobacillales; Streptococcaceae. The record is from RNAcentral.
GGUUUAUUUGGAACCACCGGGAAAACCCUUACCGGUUUUGAACUCCCUUUGGACCCGCUUCUAAAAGAUAGAGCUUUCCUUCGGAACAGAGGUGACAGGUGGUGCAUGUGUUCGUCAGCUCGUGUCCUGAGAUGUGGGUUAAGUCCCGCAACGAGCGCAACCCCUAUUGUUAGUUGCCAUCAUUCAGUUGGGCACUCUAGCGAGACUGCCCGGUAAUAAACCGGAAGGAAGGUGGGGAUGACGUCAAAUCAUCAUGCCCCUUAUGACCUGGGCUACACACGUGCUACAAUGGCUGGUACAACGAGUCGCAAGUCGGUGACGGCAAGCUAAUCUCUUAAAGCCAGUCUCAGUUCGGAUUGUAGGCUGCAACUCGCCUACAUGAAGUCGGAAUCGCUAGUAAUCGCGGAUCAGCACGCCGCGGUGAAUACGUUCCCGGGCCUUGUACACACCGCCCGUCACACCACGAGAGUUUGUAACACCCGAAGUCGGUGAGGUAACCUUUUAGGAGCCAGCCGCCUAAGGUGGGAUAGAUGAUUGGGGUGAAAGUCCG